Molecule: ribosomal RNA, 254 nt
Filed under: uncultured bacterium
Lineage: Bacteria
Description: partial 16S ribosomal RNA
Rfam family: Bacterial small subunit ribosomal RNA
Source: RNAcentral
UACGGGGGGAGCAAGCGUUGUUCGGAUUUACUGGGCGUAAAGGGCGCGUAGGCGGCCACCGCAAGUCGACUGUGAAAUCUCCGGGCUUAACCCGGAAAGGUCAGCCGAUACUGCGGGGCUAGAGUGCAGAAGGGACAACUGGAAUUCUCGGUGUAGCGGUGGAAUGCGCAGAUAUCAGGAGGAACACCAAUAGCGAAGGCAGCUCGCUGGGACGGUACUGACGCUAAGGUGCGAAAGCGUGGGGAGCGAACAGG